GAAGUCGGAGCAGAUAGUGCA
Molecule: unclassified non-coding RNA, 21 nt
Filed under: Mus musculus (house mouse)
Lineage: Eukaryota; Metazoa; Chordata; Mammalia; Rodentia; Muridae
Description: oocyte_clustered_small_RNA10524
Source: RNAcentral